Molecule: ribosomal RNA, 253 nt
Filed under: uncultured bacterium
Lineage: Bacteria
Description: partial 16S ribosomal RNA
Rfam family: Bacterial small subunit ribosomal RNA
Source: RNAcentral
UACGGAGGGUGCAAGCGUUACUCGGAAUUACUGGGCGUAAAGCGCACGCAGGUGGCUGAGUCAGUCGAUUGUGAAAGCCCUGGGCUUAACCUGGGAAUUGCAGUCGAUACUGCUUAGCUAGAGUAUGGGAGAGGGCAGUGGAAUUCCCGGUGUAGCGGUGAAAUGCGUAGAUAUCGGGAGGAACAUCAGUGGCGAAGGCGGCUGCCUGGCCCAAUACUGACACUCAGGUGCGACAGCGUGGGGAGCGAACGGG